AGUGAACGCUGGCGGUGGGCCUAACACAUGCAAGUCGAACGGCAGCACAGUAAGAGCUUGCUCUUACGGGUGGCGAGUGGCGGACGGGUGAGGAAUACAUCGGAAUCUACUUUUUCGUGGGGGAUAACGUAGGGAAACUUACGCUAAUACCGCAUACGACCUACGGGUGAAAGCAGGGGAUCUUCGGACCUUGCGCGAUUGAAUGAGCCGAUGUCGGAUUAGCUAGUUGGCGGGGUAAAGGCCUACCAAGGCGACGAUCCGUAGCUGGUCUGAGAGGAUGAUCAGCCACACUGGAACUGAGACACGGUCCAGACUCCUACGGGAGGCAGCAGUGGGGAAUAUUGGACAAUGGGCGCAAGCCUGAUCCAGCCAUACCGCGUGGGUGAAGAAGGCCUUCGGGUUGUAAAGCCCUUUUGUUGGGAAAGAAAAGCAGCAGGUUAAUACCCCGCUGUUCUGACGGUACCCAAAGAAUAAGCACCGGCUAACUUCGUG
This 492-nucleotide ribosomal RNA is filed under the name uncultured bacterium. Its description in RNAcentral is "partial 16S ribosomal RNA". It matches the Rfam family "Bacterial small subunit ribosomal RNA", at positions 29 to 507 of the family's 1533-position model. The record is from RNAcentral.